This 468-nucleotide ribosomal RNA is filed under the name uncultured bacterium. Its description in RNAcentral is "partial 16S ribosomal RNA". It matches the Rfam family "Bacterial small subunit ribosomal RNA", at positions 28 to 507 of the family's 1533-position model. The record is from RNAcentral.
GACGAACGCUGGCGGCGUGCUUAACACAUGCAAGUCGAACGGAAAGGCCCUGCUUUUGUGGGGUGCUCGAGUGGCGAACGGGUGAGUAACAAGUGAGUAACCUGCCCUUGACUUUGGGAUAACUUCAGGAAACUGGGGCUAAUACCGGAUAGGAGCUCCUGCUGCAUGGUGGGGGUUGGAAAGUUUCGGCGGUUGGGGAUGGACUCGCGGCUUAUCAGCUUGUUGGUGGGGUAGUGGCUUACCAAGGCUUUGACGGGUAGCCGGCCUGAGAGGGUGACCGGCCACAUUGGGACUGAGAUACGGCCCAGACUCCUACGGGAGGCAGCAGUGGGGAAUAUUGCACAAUGGGCGGAAGCCUGAUGCAGCAACGCCGCGUGCGGGAUGACGGCCUUUGGGUUGUAAACCGCUUUCGCCUGUGACGAAGCGUGAGUGACGGUAAUGGGUAAAGAAGCACCGGCUAACUACGUG